This 393-nucleotide long non-coding RNA is filed under the name Arabidopsis lyrata. Its description in RNAcentral is "long non-coding RNA (ALYR_LNC000036)". The record is from RNAcentral. Lineage: Eukaryota; Viridiplantae; Streptophyta; Magnoliopsida; Brassicales; Brassicaceae.
AGCUGCUCCAUGCAGUUGGCAUCGCCGCAUAGAGAUUUGGAAGAAGAGAAACCAGGCCAAAUGGGUCGGGUCGGGUUUAUAAUUUGGGUUGUGUUCAUAAUUGGACGUUGGAGAUGGGAAUGAGAAAAAACAGAGGAGGAAGAAGAAGAAGGCAGACAAGCAAUGCGAAUAAUAAUAAAUGCAAAUGAGAGCUUUUGAAGAAAACAAAGAAAGAGGAUGAGAGAGUGUUGAAGGCAAGAAGGAAGAAAGAGACGAGACAUAUUGACUAGUACCUUAUCAAUAUGAAACGCACCGUUCUAAUACUCAAAACGAGACAAAACCGUAGGUGUACAGGUACAGCUUUUUUGCUGGUCAUGUGUGCUUUCAUUUUCGUUUCUCUGGGUCCUUAAUUUA